Molecule: small nuclear RNA, 166 nt
Filed under: Bombyx mandarina (wild silkworm)
Lineage: Eukaryota; Metazoa; Arthropoda; Insecta; Lepidoptera; Bombycidae
Description: U1 spliceosomal RNA
Source: RNAcentral
AUACUUAGCUGGCGUAGGGGAUACCGUGAUCAUGCAGGCGAUUCCCCCAGGGCGAGGCUGCUGCUCCAUUGCACUGCGAAGUGGUUGACCCUUGCGAUUAUUUUUAUUUUUAUCAAUAAAAAAAAUCAUAAUAAAAAAUGUAUACCCGAAUAAUUAUUUUCUUUAC